Mycena polygramma is the source of this 98-nucleotide non-coding RNA. Lineage: Eukaryota; Fungi; Basidiomycota; Agaricomycetes; Agaricales; Mycenaceae. The record is from the annotation of a GenBank genome assembly.
GACUCGGUGGCGCAUUGGUGCGCGUCCACGAGGCGUGGAAGGUUAGCACCCAGACCAGAUUUGUGUGGAAGAUGUCUGUUCGACCCAGGCCCGAGUCG